UCCGGUUUGACACCGGCAGUCCCGCUAGAGUGCCCGGCGCCCGAAGGCCCGAUGGCAACUAGAGGCAGGGGUUUCGCUCGUUAAGGGACUUAACCCGACACUUCACAGCACGAGCUGACGACAGCCAUGCAGCACCUGUGCACGUUCCACCCUUGCGGGCGUGGCCCGGCUUUCACCGGGUUAAUCCGUGCAUGUCAAGCCCUGGAUAAGGUUCUUCGCGUUGCUUCGAAUUAAGCCACAUGCUCCACCGCUUGUGUGAGCCCCCGUCAAUUCCUUUGAGUUUUAGCCUUGCGACCGUACUCCCCAGGCGGCACACUCAUCGAUUUUUCUUCGACCCCGCCGGCGUCAGAGCCUUCGAGGUCUAGUGUGCAUCGUUUACGGCGUGGACUAC
RNAcentral lists this unclassified non-coding RNA (391 nucleotides) under uncultured Phycisphaeraceae bacterium. RNAcentral describes it as "contains 16S-23S intergenic spacer region". The record is from RNAcentral. Lineage: Bacteria; Pseudomonadati; Planctomycetota; Phycisphaerae; Phycisphaerales; Phycisphaeraceae.